RNAcentral lists this ribosomal RNA (323 nucleotides) under uncultured fungus. Its description in RNAcentral is "eukaryotic LSU rRNA". The stretch from base 1 to 52 matches the Rfam family "5.8S ribosomal RNA", at positions 103 to 154 of the family's 154-position model. The record is from RNAcentral. Lineage: Eukaryota; Fungi.
AACGCACCUUGCGCUCCUUGGUAUUCCGAGGAGCAUGCCUGUUUGAGUGUCAUUAAAUUCUCAACCUCUCCAGCUUUUUGGCUGGGUGAGGAUUGGAUGUGGGGGUGUGCUGGCUUCCUUAAAAGAGGUCGGCUCCCCUUAAAUGCAUCAGCGAUGGACCCUUGCUGGGAGAAGUGGCUCGUGGUGUAAUACUUGUUUUGUUCACCUCGUCGCCGGCUUUGUCUCGCGGGCUUCUGUUCGGCGCUUCGAAACCCCAGAGUCGUCUUCGGACGGCCACUUGACAAUCUGACCUCAAAUCAGGUAGGACUACCCGCUGAACUUAA